Molecule: ribosomal RNA, 1378 nt
Filed under: metagenome
Description: bacterial SSU rRNA
Rfam family: Archaeal small subunit ribosomal RNA
Source: RNAcentral
GGGGUCGCAAGACACCGGCAAAAGGCUCAGUAACACGUCGAUAAUCUACCUUUGAGUUUGGGAUAACCUUGGGAAACUGAGGCUAAUACCUGAUAGGGAAAUUGUUCUGGAAACGAUUUUUUCCUUAAAGGCAACGCUCAAAGAUGAGUCGGCGGCGGAUUAGGCUGUUGGCGGGGUAAUGGCCCACCAAACCUAUGAUCCGUAAGGGCCCUGGGAGGGGUAGCCCUGAGAAGGACACUGAGAUACUGGUCCUAGCCCUACGGGGUGCAGCAGGCGCGAAAACUUUACAAUGCACGCAAGUGUGAUAAGGGAAUCCUAAGUGCUUAUACUUUUGUAUAGGCUUUUGCCAUGAGUAAAAAUCAUGGCGAAUAAGUGGUGGGCAAGACUGGUGCCAGCCGCCGCGGUAACCCCAGCGCCACAAGUGGCAACCAUCUUUAUUGGGCCUAAAGCGUCCGUAGCCGGUUUAGCAAAUCUCUUGUGAAAUUGUGAGGCUUAACCUUACAACGUGCAGGAGAGACUACUAGACUUGGAACCGGGAGGGGUCAGAAGUAUGCCUGGGGGAGCGGUAAAAUGUUAUAAUCCCAGGUAGACUACCUAUGGCGAAGGCAUCUGACCAGAACGGAUUCGACGGUGAGGGACGAAAGCUAGGGGAGCAAAACGGAUUAGAUACCCGAGUAGUCCUAGCUGUAAACUCUGCGAACUAGGUGUUGCGCAUUCUUCGUGAAUACGCAGUAUCGAAAUGAAGAUGUUUAGUUCGCCGCCUGGGAAGUACGGUCGCAAGACUGAAACUUAAAGGAAUUGGCGGGGGAGCACCACAAGGGGUGCGGCGUGCGGUUUAAUCUAAUUCAACACAGAGAAUCUCACCAGGAGCGACGGCAGGAUGAAAGACAGUCUAAAGGGCUUUCUUGACGAGCCGAGAGGUAGUGCAUGGCCGUCGUCAGCUCGUGCCGCAAGGUGUCCUGUUAAGUCAGGCAACGGGCGAGACCUGCAUCUACAAUUGCCAGCGGAUCCUUCGGGAUGGCCGGGCACAUUGUAGGGACUGCCUUGGAAACAAGGAGGAAGGCGCAGGCUACGGUAGGUCUGUAUGCUCCGAAUCUUCUGGGCUACACGCGCGCAACAAUGGUAGAGACAAUGGGAUACAACUCCGAAAGGAGAAGUUAAGCCUCGAAACUCUAUCUUAGUCCAGAUUGAGGGUUGUAACUCACCCUCAUGACGAUGGAAUCCCUAGUAAUUGGACGUUAUCAGCAUCCAGUGAAUAAGUCCCUGCUCCUUGCACACACCGCCCGUCAAACCACUCGAGCAAAGUUCAGAUGAGAUCUGGUUUAAUUGACCAUCUCGAAUCUAAGCUUAGCAAGAUGGGUUAAGUCGUCACAAGGUA